RNAcentral lists this long non-coding RNA (540 nucleotides) under Dromaius novaehollandiae (emu). RNAcentral's name for it is "lncRNA (ENSDNVG00000016957.1)". Lineage: Eukaryota; Metazoa; Chordata; Aves; Casuariiformes; Dromaiidae. The record is from RNAcentral.
UCCUGCCUCCAAUACCUGAGCAGUUUGGGUGCUUUUGUAUACAUCAGUGCAUCACAUCCACAGAGUCUUACCCUUAGUGGAGGUACAAGCCACUGCCGAGAGCAGGACGUCAGACUUGCCGUACCAAUGAGCCACUGUGGUGAGUCUGGAUUCCUGUGCUAGCUGCCUCUGGGGAUCAUGGAAAACUGACAGCAAGUUCAUCUGGUAGCACAAGCCACAGAAAUGUUCUCCUAGGACAACACAGCCGUCAGCUACAAUGUUCUGCGCACACUCCAAUCCAGUUGGAAUUUCCAUGUGCUUUUGCCCUAAAAAUUAGUGUUAAUCCUGCUGGCCAAGGGUCACCGCUAGGAACCCARGGGAGGUGCUCAGCCCUUCAACAGCACCAGCCCAGCCUUUCAGACUCUAUGCAUUAAUACAAUGAAGAGUAGAAAUUCGAUUGUCCUGUAAUUCAGGUAAGCUCUUUUUUUGUUGUCUUCCCUCAUUCCCCAUCCCUCAGCUUAAAUAUGUGCUGGUAUAGACUAAGCUGCAUUAAUACAGCGG